GCCCACAUCACAUUGAAAGAGGUUCCUGUAUGAUCACCAAAGUUAAGCAAUGUUGAGCCUGAUUAGUACUUAAAUGGGUGACCACUUGUGAAUACCAGGUGCUGUAAG
Acanthosepion pharaonis is the source of this 108-nucleotide non-coding RNA. The record is from the annotation of a GenBank genome assembly. NCBI's taxonomy places the organism in Eukaryota, Metazoa, Mollusca, Cephalopoda, Sepiida, Sepiidae.